This 380-nucleotide ribosomal RNA is filed under the name uncultured eukaryote. RNAcentral describes it as "partial 18S ribosomal RNA". It matches the Rfam family "Eukaryotic small subunit ribosomal RNA", at positions 592 to 976 of the family's 1831-position model. The record is from RNAcentral.
CAAUAGCGUAUGCUUGGGUUGUUGCAGUUAAAAAGCUCGUAGUUGGAUUUCUUCCAUCAAUAACUUGUCCGCGCUUCGGCGUGUGUACUUGUUGUUGGUGGAAUCUAUUCGAGUCUGGGCGUUGCGCUUGAUUGCGUGGGUCUUGAUUCGGAGCUGAUACUUUGAGAAAAUUAGAGUGUUUCAAGCAGGCGUUAUGCCCUGAAUACUGCAGCAUGGGAUAUCGAGACAGGACUUCGGUCCUAUCUUUUUGGUUCUCGGGAUCGAAGUAAUGAUUAAUAGGGAUAGUUGGGGGCAUUCGUAUGCGAGCGCUAGUGGUGAAAUACUUUGAUUGCUCGCAGACGGACUACUGCGAAAGCAUUUGCCAAGGAUGUUUUCAUUAA